GCUCAGCAACUUCACCCACAGCAACCAUGACUUUGAUCAGCGUCUUCAUCUGCACACUGGCCCUCUGGACUCAAGGAUCCAGAGGUCAGGUGACUGUGACUCAGACUCCUUCAGUGCAAACUCUUGUUCCGGGAAACACAGUCACCAUCAACUGUAGAACCAGUAGCAGAGUGUAUAGUGGUAACCGUCUCGCCUGGUACCUGCAGAAACCUGGAGAAGCUCCUAAACUCCUGAUCUACUUGGCUGAUAGCUUACACUCAGGGACUCCAGCUCGUUUCAGUGGCAGUGGAUCUAAUACUGACUUCACUCUGACCAUCAGUGGAGUCCAGACUGAAGAUGCAGGAGAUUACUACUGUCAGAGUUUCCAUGAGAUCAGUAGUAGCUAUGUGUUUACACAGUUUGGCUCGGGGUCACGAGUACAUCUUGGUCAUCGUGGAUUACACCACUCGGUGACCCACCUGAGGACGUCCAUCUACCACCCCCAGACAGACGGGCUGGUGGAGAGGUUCAAUCAAACACUGAAGAGGAUGCUCUGGAGGGUGGUAGAUGAGGAAGGAAGGAACUCAUCCUCUUCGCCGUCCAAGAAACCCCUCAAGCAUCAACCGGUUUCACCCCCUUCGAACUGCUCUUCAGACGGUGGCCUCGAGGACUGCUGGAUGUGGCCCGAGAGGUCUGGGAAGAGCAGCCCUCCCCCCUAUUGCACCCUGGUGGACUACGUCCAGGAAAUGCAGGAACAUAUCGACAAGGUCGAUCGUCAGGGAUCAAAUUGA
Non-coding RNA from Pangasianodon hypophthalmus (striped catfish), 770 nucleotides. The record is from the annotation of a RefSeq genome assembly. Lineage: Eukaryota; Metazoa; Chordata; Actinopteri; Siluriformes; Pangasiidae.